Molecule: ribosomal RNA, 468 nt
Filed under: uncultured bacterium
Lineage: Bacteria
Description: partial 16S ribosomal RNA
Rfam family: Bacterial small subunit ribosomal RNA
Source: RNAcentral
GACGAACGCUGGCGGCGUGCUUAACACAUGCAAGUCGAACGGAAAGGCCCUGCUUUUGUGGGGUGCUCGAGUGGCGAACGGGUGAGUAACACGUGAGUAACCUGCCCUUGACUUUGGGAUAACUUCAGGAAACUGGGGCUAAUACCGGAUAGGAGCUCCUGCUGCAUGGUGGGGGUUGGAAAGUUUCGGCGGGUGGGGAUGGACUCGCGGCUUAUCAGCUUGUUGGCGGGGUAGUGGCUUACCAAGGCUUUGACGGGUAGCCGGCCUGAGAGAGUGACCGGCCACAUUGGGACUGAGAUACGGCCCAGGCUCCUACGGGAGGCAGCAGUGGGGAAUAUUGCACAAUGGGCGGAAGCCUGAUGCAGCAACGCCGCGUGCGGGAUGACGGCCUUCGGGUUGUAAACCGCUUUCGCCUGUGACGAAGCGUGAGUGACGGUAAUGGGUAAAGAAGCACCGGCUAACUACGUG